RNAcentral lists this long non-coding RNA (220 nucleotides) under Oryza brachyantha (malo sina). RNAcentral's name for it is "long non-coding RNA (OBRA_LNC003393)". Lineage: Eukaryota; Viridiplantae; Streptophyta; Magnoliopsida; Poales; Poaceae. The record is from RNAcentral.
CAUGCUUGUUCCAACAUUUAUAGUCGUGCAUGAAACCUCGAAUGAUUAAAUGAGCAUGGACAUCAACUGAACUUGAGAACUUUCUCAUGUUCUCACAAUCAAUGCAUGGACAACAUAUGGCAGAUUUCUGCUGCAUUGACAUAUCUACCUCUGAUGCGACAAUGAAUGACCUCAGACCUGCUAGAUACUCAUCACAAGUCCAGUUCUGAAGAUACAUCCA